Molecule: ribosomal RNA, 500 nt
Filed under: uncultured bacterium
Lineage: Bacteria
Description: partial 16S ribosomal RNA
Rfam family: Bacterial small subunit ribosomal RNA
Source: RNAcentral
AUUGAACGCUGGCGGCAUGCCUUACACAUGCAAGUCGAACGGCAGCACGGGAGCAAUCCUGGUGGCGAGUGGCGAACGGGUGAGUAAUGUAUCGGAACGUGCCCAGUCGUGGGGGAUAACGUAGCGAAAGCUACGCUAAUACCGCAUACGAUCUGUGGAUGAAAGCAGGGGACCGUAAGGCCUCGCGCGAUUGGAGCGGCCGAUAUCAGAUUAGGUAGUUGGUGGGGUAAAGGCCUAACAAGCCGACGAUCUGUAGCUGGGCUGAGAGGACGAGCAGCCGCACGGGGACUGAGGCACGGCCCAGACUCCUACGGGAGGCAGCGGUGGGGAAUUUUGGACAAUGGGGGCAAGCCUGAUCCAGCAAUGCCGCGUGCAGGAUGAAGGCCUUCGGGUUGUAAACUGCUUUUGUACGGAGCGAAAAGGCUCUCUCUAAUACAGGGGGCUCAUGACGGUACCGUAAGAAUAAGCACCGGCUAACUACGUGCCAGCAGCCGCCGUAA